RNAcentral lists this transfer RNA (73 nucleotides) under Chloroflexota bacterium. Its description in RNAcentral is "Chloroflexi bacterium (sediment metagenome) tRNA-Glu". It matches the Rfam family "tRNA". From Rfam's summary of the family: Transfer RNA (tRNA) molecules are approximately 80 nucleotides in length. Their secondary structure includes four short double-helical elements and three loops (D, anti-codon, and T loops). Lineage: Bacteria; Bacillati; Chloroflexota. The record is from RNAcentral.
GGCCCUAUCGUCUAGCGGUCUAGGACGUGGCCCUUUCAAGGCCAAAACUCGGGUUCGAGUCCCGAUAGGGUCA